CGGAAUCUGGUCAUUGGGAUCGCAGAUACGCCGCAUCUGCUAAAAUACGCCUGAUCCAUUUAUGGGCCUUCUCGACCAGUUGUGGGACGACACCGUCGCUGGCCCUCGGCCGGAGAACGGUCUCAGCAAGCUUCGGAAGCAUAACACCUUCGCCGCCCGAUCUAACUCCGGCAAGGGUACGCCGCUGUACUCUGCCACCUUAAUUUCUCGUAUAUAAUUUUCCAUGAUCGUUAAACGAAUCACCAAUACCACAACUGUUAUCACUAAAAUUGAACUGAAUUACUAUAAUCAUCAUCAUUAUCACUAUUAUAACUAUAAUCUACCCGUUAAUAUUGAUUAACCUUCAAAUUAAAUAUCGAAUUGUGUUCUAGGUUAGAUCUGAAGCGCAAGACACAGUUAUUAAGAUUGAAGUUCGAAAUUAUCGAAAUCCAUUCAUAUAUGAUAUAAUUUAAAUCUAUCUUGAUUCUUGAAGUUCUUGCAUGUUUUAUUUUGGUAGAAGAAGUUCCUGCAUGUGAAAAGGUCAAAGAGAUUUUUUUUUUGAAUUCGUGAAAAGCUGAAAGAUGUUUUUCUCAGUUUUUGAUUUGUAAGAAAAUUAAAAUAAAUAUGCUAACAGUUAAGGAAAUUGAUUGAUCAGAAAC
RNAcentral lists this long non-coding RNA (638 nucleotides) under Medicago truncatula (barrel medic). RNAcentral's name for it is "long non-coding RNA (MTRU_LNC005723)". Lineage: Eukaryota; Viridiplantae; Streptophyta; Magnoliopsida; Fabales; Fabaceae. The record is from RNAcentral.